CUGACGGUAGUCGUAUGCUCGUCUCCGAGACUAAGCCAUGCAAGUCCAAGUACACGUCCUUGAACGACGGAAACUGCGAACGGCUCAAUUUAAAUCAGUUGCGAUCUACUCGGCGUUCCGCGCCGCCGGAUAACCGUAGUAAUUCUAGGGCUAAUACGUGCGAAGCGCCCGAAGCCGCGAGGCGACGGGCGUUCUCGCCGGAUGUAGGAACCGACCCGGGGACCGCCGGGGCAACCCGGCGCCCCCGAGACGGGGCGAACCACGGUGAAAUGACGGAUCGUCGGCCCCGCGCCGGCGACUCGCCGAAUGAGUUUCUGACCUAUCAACUCGAGACGGCGGGGUAGAGGCCCGCCGCGGUAACGACGGGUAACGGGGAAUCAGGGUUCGAUUCCGGAGAGGGAGCCCGAGAAACGGCUACCACUUCCAAGGAAGGCAGCAGGCGCGCAACUUACCCUAAUCUCGAUU
RNAcentral lists this ribosomal RNA (465 nucleotides) under uncultured eukaryote. RNAcentral describes it as "bacterial SSU rRNA". It matches the Rfam family "Eukaryotic small subunit ribosomal RNA", at positions 14 to 456 of the family's 1831-position model. The record is from RNAcentral.